GAAGUAUAAGCCAACACAUCGCCA
This 24-nucleotide non-coding RNA is filed under the name Arabidopsis thaliana (thale cress). Lineage: Eukaryota; Viridiplantae; Streptophyta; Magnoliopsida; Brassicales; Brassicaceae. The record is from RNAcentral.